This 953-nucleotide long non-coding RNA is filed under the name Fragaria vesca (wild strawberry). RNAcentral describes it as "long non-coding RNA (FVES_LNC005144)". The record is from RNAcentral. Lineage: Eukaryota; Viridiplantae; Streptophyta; Magnoliopsida; Rosales; Rosaceae.
AAACAGUAUCUCCAAAGGCUAUUAUACACAUUAAAACAGUGAAAAAUCAACUUAGAUGCGAAAUAAUAAAGUUUACUGGGGGUAGUAUCGUUUAAAAUAGAGAUUACUACCCUAGUAAUCUUCUACUGGGUGUAGUAAACUUGCAAAACAAUAUCCCCAAAGGCCGUAAUACACAUUAAAAUGUGCUUCUGCACAGCUAAUGGGAGCGUUCCUUUCCAAAACUAAUGACUAACAAAAAAAAAAAAAUAUCAGAAGCAUGAAGAUUUUCAAAAUUACUAGGGCUAGCAUUCAGCUCCAAAACGAAAGACUAACAAAAGAGAAGAAACAUAAAAAGCAGCGUGCCGCUGCACCGCUAACGGGAGCGUUCCGCUCCAAAAACAUAACAUGUACAACUAAAAACAUGAAAAAAUUACUAACAAUUACUAGGGGUAGUAAAAUAACAGGAGGUACCUUUGUUUCCAUUUCUUCCAGUUGCAGCAAGAAUCUGCCCCUUGUAUUUGCUCUUUCCAAAGGCACCAUCAACAUAUAAAACAGGUAAGCUGAACUUGAAACCCUGAAUUUGGCCGGCAUAAGCUACAAAAACCCUUUUAAACCUCUCGGUACUCUCAUCAACUUCAAGAACAACUGAAGAACCCGGAUUAGUUGAUAGGUGCAUUUUAUGCAACGUUCUUAAUGUAUUUCCGACCCUAUUUAGUUAUGUAAUUCCUUUAACAAUAUUGAUUUUAACUUAGUUUGUGUUUUUAGGUCUCAAAUAAAGCCGAGGAGCACAAAAGAGGCAAAAGCGGACAAAUCUUGAAGGAAAAGAAAUCCAUAUGGCGCAAGGAAAGAAAUCAGAAAAUCUGCCAGGAAUAGUCAGUCAACUUCGACAGAGAAUUGUGAUCAGCUCACAACGAUCCAGGAGAUGAACUUUAUAUCAGCAGAAAGCUAGAAGAGUCUAGUUUUCAGAACUUUUC